This is a non-coding RNA of Meleagris gallopavo (turkey), 7836 nucleotides long. The record is from RefSeq and is a predicted model, not a curated record. NCBI's taxonomy places the organism in Eukaryota, Metazoa, Chordata, Aves, Galliformes, Phasianidae.
UUUGUGGUCAUAUUUUUGUAGUAGAAUAGCCCAAACAACAUCAAAAUCUAUUUUAACUAUAGCAGGGCAGAUAAAAUAGUCUGGCACAAGCCCCUGUAUUUUCAAAGUGCCAAAGGAUUAUGUGUUGAGCUCCCCUUGGAUUGCAGUGGGAGCCACAUGGCUAAAUCCUGCUUUACUGCUUUGGAAAUUCAGGGCUGUGCCAGAUAUGACAUGGCUACUCGCUGGGCCAAAAUCACUGCCCCACCCCAGUAGUUUGGAUUAUGCAUCCUUUGUUUUAUUUGGGUUAUCUCAUUGGAUAUGUAAAAUGAACUACUGGAUUCUUUUCUUUGUGAAACGUCGGCAAAGAGAUGAAAGAGUUUUUUCCUCUUAGUUUGGAAUGAGAAAGAGUUUGUCUUGAGACAGCGUUUCCACUCAAAUAAAAAAUACCUUCAAGUGUGAGUGAGCUGCAGAACCUUAAAACAGCAAAAGAGAGAGUACUAAUCUUUCCAUUUCUUUAAGUAUAGUUUCAGCCAUCCCCCCAUUCCUGUAGCUAUGUCCAGUUUCAACCAAACAAAGCAAUGUUAGCUAACAGGCACUAUUGGUUUCAGAUGCUAACGCAGAGAUAGUUCGUCACCGUUCUAUUUUGUGGUCAUUUUCCCAGUGUAUUUGUUGAGCACCAAAACUGGAAAUACAUUUAACUAAGAUUGUCUGUGCUUGUUUUCCACUAAGUGUACUGUUCACAAUGUUAUGCACAUGAAUGUAUGUGUCUGCGUUUAAAGAAGUGUAUAAAAUGUAAUUUAUAUAUUUAUGUUUCAGUGGGAUGCCAAUAAUGUUGCUCCGUUCCUUUUUUUUUUUUUGUCUGAAAGAUAUCUAAUGAAAAAGAAAUCAUAUAUCCAUUAAAAUCAUGUAGAUGAAAAGCAUUAUGUGACCCACUCAGACACUGUGCAGGUAUGAAAGGACGUCGAAGUCACUUAAGUGGAAUAAUUUGCAAAAAACCUUUUGGAGAUUCCUAUGGUCACACUGGCAUAAGAGCUUGCAUUGAAAUGUGUGGGCCAGAUUCCCUGGAGUAACUCUGUUGACUAUAAUGGAGCUCUGCUGAUUUACACCACCAGUGAGUCUGGCCUGUGUUAAGUUCUCGGGAAGAAAGUAAGCUAAGAGGCAUGCAUUUUGCUGGUGCCAGCAAAUAAGUGUGUUAUGCCAAAUUCAGCAAACCAGGAGAGAAUGAAGACUGAAUGGAGUCUUUUCCAGUAGUCGUUUGUUUGAGGCUUGUAGUGUCGAGUUAAUUUUGUUACCAGGAAUGAAACGCACAUGAGCCUUUGCUCUCAAGCACAAUGUUUAUAUGGCAUGCAGCAGAUAACACAAAAAUCUCAGGGCUAUAUUCUCAGCUAGUAUUAAUUGGCAAAUGUUUUUACUUCAGCCGCCCCUAAGCUAAUUUACAUCAGAUGAGGAUCCAGUCCACAGUUUUAAAGCACGAGGAGCAGUGUCAUGACAUUCGUGCCAUUUGCUGUCGCCCGGCUGAGAUAUUACCCGGAGCCUUGUGAGCAUCGCAGGCCGUGCUGUUGGGCCUUCUGUGAGCUGGCAGAUAACAACCAGAAGGAACAGUAACUGUAAAGGUUGUGACACAGGAGACAUUAAUUCAAAGUUAAGUUGGACAUUUCAAGGGCCAUAUCCUCAGCUGGUGUAAAUCACCGUUGCUCUGUUGCCUGCAAUGGAGCGGUACCAGCUUACACCACUUGAGGGGCUGGUCCUUCAUUCUUGCUCAUCCCUUUCACUCCUCGGUCCUGCAGGGAUCUCAGAUUGUCGUGUACUGUUAAUGUAAUCCUGUGUUCUCUAAUACUUAAGCACAAUAAGUGAAUAUAAGAAUGAGUGUCAGACUUAACUUUGAAUGUCCGAGCUCUGAAAUGGUUUGUUUCACCAUUGUGGCUGUAAAUUAAACAGUUCUCUGUGCAUCUGUGAAUGCCGUGUCAUACCUUCUUCCACUGUCUGUUGGAGUUGGACUCUGCCUGGGCUUCUGAAGUGCAACACUUGGAGCGACAGAGGGAAGGGUGUGAGCAGUUGGAGCCGCCAGAUACAUGAUUGAUAACUGCUGUUUGUGGGGUGGGGUGCCAGCAGGGUGCUUAAGGAGGGACCCGAAGGUGGUAGUUGUUUGAAGUCCCGUUCCCAUGCAGUACAUCCAUACCUUGUUGUUUUUGUCCUUGCACAAACUAGAUGGAGGCUUGGGGGGCAAAAUGUUCUGUUUACAUUCUGCAGUUGCUUCACCCGUCCAGAGAUUCAGAAGUUGUUGGUCUGAUGUUCUCCUUUUUGCAGUCUUUUCUGAUCAAAAAGCAUAUGUGGAGGGAAGUGUCUGAAUACACCUCACUGUCAUCAUGCGGUGCACGACUGCUGAUUCUCUAGUUACUUAAUUCUGUGCUCCAACUUUCGGAGCUGCCCUUCAGUUGUUAUUGCGUGAAAUCAAAGAUUAUGUGCCAGUUUUCCUUCCUCUUCUGCCAUCUUUUGUCCUACUUGGCAUCUGCUUUGUUAGCACAUGGUGACUACAGGCAGUUGCUCCUCUCCAGCCCUGGAGGUUCCUAGGCAGCUCCAGAUCUUCUGUGUCUUUGAGCUUAGGCCUUUUAUUCCACUUGGAACAGCAUCUCAUGUAUCUCCUCCCUCCAGUGGGCUGCAGCAUUCCAGCUAUGAGGUUCUCUUGGCUGUCGUCCUCAGGUCCAUAUUCGCCUCCUGUGGGCUGUUUUCCAGCUCCUCUCUGCCUGACUUUCCCAUCUCUCUGUUCCUCUCAGAAGUAAUUUUCCUUUCCUUGAUUCUUUCUCAUCACAUAUCUCUUUGCUCUCCCUCUGCCUGAGAGAACAGUCUUUGAUCUGUUUAUCUUGAAAUCAAUUGCUUUAUCUAGGCAUGUGCCCUGAGAUCUGUCUCCCGGGCUUACCAGCCUGUAACUGACCACACACGUGAAAAACAAAUGCUCUUAUAUAGACACAUGUUUAUGGAGAGUAGAAGAUUCAUCUUUGCAUGUGGCAAAAUAGUGCUGAAGGCUCCCUUAGAAGCUCUGUCCAAUUGCAGUAACGCCGUAACUCUGGAAUAGUGGUGUUGAAGCUCUUCAGUCAUUUGACAGCUCAAUUAAACUCAGGAUCCCCAUUUAUAAUUUAAUUUGGAAGUGCACCCAAAAGCAAAGAUGAAGUUGCAAAGCUACCUCAGAUUUGCAUGCUCAUAUUCUACUGUAAAGUGGGGGAAAUAAUGUUUAUAAGCCCCUUCCGUGGCUUUGAAACUCUUACCUUGAGUAUUGAUUUGGCCCUCUCUUGGGCUGAAAGUUUUCGUUGCUUUCAAACCUCAACAAAGCAGAGGUACCUAUUUGUUUUCAAGGAAUUUGUUUUCUUGGUGUUUCCAAUUCCACUGCUUCUCGAAAAGCGAAUCUUACAAUCAUAAAAAUUGUUGGAACCAGUGAGGUUCCCGCUUAUGUGUGCUUUAAUUUGACGUGGAAGAGAAAAGCUUGUUAGUGUUUUAUUCCCCAAAAAUUGAGCCUAUAGGUGUAUAUAUAUGUAUAUUUAAAUUUAAGUAAUUACUGUGUGUUUUCCCACAUAUUAAUAGAAGGUAUUAGUCAUGUCACAGCUUUCCUAUGCUUCUCUUUGCUGUAGAGUCUCUAUGUGGCAUAGCCUUGAAUGGGUUUGUGCUCAUAUCCCACUGAAAUAAAGAACUAUUGUUAUCCCAUUUUAGGCGAGACCGAGGCAUGGAGACGUGACUGUGCAAGGUCACACAGCAAGGCUAUGGCAGAACCAGGGAUAGGACUCAGAUCUGAGUGCUCAUCCAGUGCCCUAAAUCACACGACCAUCUUUCCUUUUCAAGAAUGAAUCCUUGCACCCUUAGAGAUAAAUACUGAAAAGAUUGAGGCUGCAUUUUUGAGGAGGGAGAGCGAGAUGGCUAGGCUUGCAGUAACACGUUGUGUCGUCAUAAAUGCUACAGCCACCAUCUGUUUCCAGCCCACGACUUGAAAGAAAACUGAGCAGUAAUCUCGUAAUUCACAUGAGCGUUUUACACUUGUGAACCCUUCCCAACCUUUGUCUAAUAACGAGGGGAGUGCAUGGUGCUAAGGUUUGUAUUUUUCCUGCGUGUAUUAGUGUUUAUUUGUAUGUCUCUUUCUGUAUAUUUUAUUUUAUUUUGUUCCACGGUCCCAAUUAAAAAAAAAAAAAGUUAUCUGGAAGGAAAAUCAGACCAGUUCCACAGUCAAAAGAAACAUAACGAAGGUGAAGUCCCAAUUCCACUGACCUUGCUGGCAGAAUUCUCCAGGAGGAGGUGCGUUUAACAUUCCUCGCUGUGUCUGUUUUAGUUACCUGUUGAUUAAAAGAAAGACAUUAGAAAGUGAAGAGGCAGGUUGCCGAGCUGCCCUUUCCCUACAGAAACAGAACUGCUAGAAUAGCUGGACAUGCGCAUUUUAAAUCUGCACCAUCAGAUAGGAUGGUAAUGGUAGGUUGGAUUUUAAUGAAAACAAAUUCUUCUGCUAAUCUUGGUUCCGGGCUGGCCCUCCGUGGGAUUAAGGAUACCACCUGCUGUGCCAAAGUCCUGCUCAGGUUUGAGGCUGCUGGUGGGUGGGAAGAGCACAAACAUCAGAGUGGCUGGUGAGCAAUCACAGUCUGUCCUUUUGCAGUGCCCUCAGGAAAGGCAAAGAUUACUUAGUUGAUGGAAAUAGUGCUCCUCUUCAGCCUGCAAAGCAAGGCUAACAUCAUUAAGGAUUUCUUUUUGACUGUUCAGCAACACCAAGGGCUGCUGUUUCUGUGGACCUCCUUUCGUCUUGGACCCAAUUUGCACUCCUGCUCCUAGCACAGCCGAAGCGGCUGCGUAACUCCUGCACUCCUCUGGCCUUAGGAACGAUGACUUCCAUCAUCUCAACGAGACUGCAGAGCAGUUUAAGGAUGCAACGGCUUCUCAUUUCGUAUACCCCAUUGCUGCUAGAACUGUAAAUCUUUGUUGGACUGGGUUUAUAGCAAGCUGCUGCUGCAAGCAAGUGAAAUGCAUUUUCUGCUGUCACAUGUAUGGUCAAACUGUUCAAAAAGUUGCCAAACAAAGAACUGAGCUCCGGAUGGAAAACCAAUUCAAUCUCUUUACAUUUUAUUGAAAAAUAAUAAAUAACUCUUCAGGCCGAUGGGUCAGUCAUGUAGAUUUCUGUAUCAUUUUCUUACAGGAUGAAGCGGUCGGGAAGGCUACCUUACUUUUGUCUUUUAUCCAGACUAAUUGGUUAUGGACAAGGGGUGCUGAGAGCUGUCAGACUAACGCGCCUCUCCCCUCUUACUCCUCCUAUCCUGCCAGGUUUGGUCCCUGCUGCCUCCCACCCCUUUGCCCAUAGGCCCAUCUGAGGUGUCUGCCUGCACACGUGCUGCUCAGAGCCCUCUCUCAGUGCCAUGUCCCUUGGUAUCCUUGGAGGUACAAGCAGCUUUCCCAAGGCUGGUUUUCACAUGAGAGGGGGCACACGAAGGGCAGUGGCAGGGAAGGUCUCCGAAAUGAAAUUCCCAGGAACAGGAUUUGCACAUUUUAUGACUGGUCGGAUAGAAAUGCAAUGGAGCUGAAUUAUUACUCCUUAAUCCUGCUUUCUCACUUUCCUCCCAGCAGCCUCCUCCCCUCAAUCUUAGGUAAUACAGAAGCUUAUAAACAAAUCCCACUGCAUGAAAAAUAGCAAAGAGGGGGAAAAAAGGACCUCGGUUAGGGCUGUGAUGGAUAGACAGGUGGAAGGCAGGCACCAGAAAGGACUAUGAAUGGUAAAAGCCUUUGAUGGAAACACUAAAGAGCUAUUGAAAAUCCAGGGGGUGGGGGGAGGGAGGAGAAAGAAUAGCAGGAGGAGGGAAAGCAAGGGAGCCUGCCCCCCUCCCCUCCACCCUCUUUCUCAGGAUGUUGAAAGUAUUUGUCCUUCGUUACAAAAUGAUUGAACCGCCGCCAGGCCAGGCCACCCUUCCAGCCACUGCACUGGGAAGCUGGCACUUCUGAAAGCCUUGUUGCCUCUCAAAUUUUAUAGCUUUCCCCUUUGUGGGAGUUUUUGUUUUGUGCUCCUGGCAGGAUUGUUUUCAGUUUUGCUGCAUAUCAAAGAAACUAUAUUUUGCUGCUCUGACCAACACAGAAGCCAGGUAAUGAAAGAAAGAAUUAAAGAAUUGAGGCCCAUUUUUAUCAGAAUAUCCAGCCUUUAAUUGAGUCGGAAUUUUGUGCAUUUGGUAUUCAUUAUAUUACAUUAAUAUUCUUUUGCUUCAUCUCUAUCACUUUUUGAAAGAGGAAUUUUGUCCUGUAAAUAAAGCUUCAACCUUACUGAAGUCUCAAUGUGUACCAAAGCAACGCCUGUUCUUCAUAGCUGUGAACAGUGAGAGUGAUAUUGCCAUGUCAUCACUGAAGUGUUGGUUUGUUUUUUUUUGCAAUAGACAUGCACAGGAGAAAAGGCAAUGUUUCCCCUUUUUGGAAUGGUCUCGGAGCUUCUGGGAUCUCCUACAUUUGUCUACAGAUGGAGAGGACUACAUAAGAGAUUGUUGCUGCUGCUAGAGGCUGUAUUUAUAUCGUGUACUUAUGUGCAUAUGUAUUUAUGUUAUCUUGGGAAGGACUAAAGCCAUGUGCAUGCUCUGAGAAUGAGGUCUGGCUGUCUGGAUGGCCAUCCUCCACCCACAGCCUUGUUAACCAGGAGGUGACCCAGGGCCACGAUGUGUGAGUGAUGCCACCCACGUGCCACUGCUGUCAGGGUAAGCUGGGUGUCCUUGUCCUGGAGGGGUGAGAGGAGCCUCACCUCACUGUGCUUAGCAGUGCGGGGUGGGCGCAUCAGCUGCAUCACCCCAAGGGCACUGCUCUGUGCAAACAGCACUGGCAAUCAGCUGUUCUUUGCCUCCAAGAUUAGAUCCUGGGAUUAGGACUCCGACGAGCUGGCCACGCUGGAUCAUCAAAAUAGUCCCAGGAAAGGCAAUAUGCAACACAUACAGCUGAUUUUUUCACUGCGUCGAAAAGAAAAUCUCUGAUGAAAUAACUUUGCAAUAGCACUUUCCACCUGCAUGUCUUCAGUGCUGCAGUUUGCAGUGCCCCCAAGGGAGCUUACCCUGCUUACCCCACCUCCAAGCAAAGAGAAAGGGAUGACCUGCUCCUUUCAUCUUUUAAACUGAGCACCGGAUCAUCAGGCUAUGGAGCAACCACAGAGAUGGCAGGGGUCAGAGCCAAUGUAGAGCCUCAAGUCCAACACUGUCAGAGCUGGCGUCAGCCUCCUGCCUCUCCAGUAAGCCCACACCCACCUCAGCUUCUCUAGAUUUUACUGGAAAUAGCGAUGUCUGCUUCUUGUGAGCCUGGUAAGAACUACCUGCCAUGUUCAGCCAAUGUAAAACCCCAUAAAUUAAUUCACCAGCUUUAUUCCUGGAGAACUGUUUAAUGCUCAGCUUCUCCAUUGCUGCACUUUCAGUUUAUUUUAACGAUGGUGCCUCGCUCUCAGUUUCACCACACACGUCCUCUAUUUUGCUAAAAAUGUACUGAUGAACAUGAGCUGUAUUACCAGAAAUCACGUUCCAGUUCCUGUUCCUUGGCUCAUUUCUCCCUCAUUUCCCAUUACCUUCCUAUUUUAAGACCGAAUGCAUGACAUACCUGUCAGCUAGAUCCACUCAAAUAUUUAUCCAGUAAUUUAAUCAGUGAAUUUCAUGGUAGAUUGCUGACUACAUUGACGAUUUUCUCCUCGUUCACAUAGCAGCACGUAAGGGAGCUGGAAUACUGUGGGCUCUUGCAGGAGAUGUAUGAACUCAAUGAAAUUUAUAAAUUGUAAGGAAUUUCUCCCUUGACACCUGCGAGGUGCCUCAGCCAGCUGCUGCACUAAGGCAGCACUGGAAAGCACCUGAGAUGGAUCAAACUUGGACAUUGAUGUGACCCUGU